CAAUGAAUGUAGCAUGGUACUGUACACGGAAACUAAAUCAUGGGCUUGAAAUGUCUGUGCCCUCUCUGAGUACUUAAUCGGUUCUUUGAUUUGCGGGCCUGGUUUAAACCCACAUUC
Molecule: small nucleolar RNA, 117 nt
Filed under: Brassica napus (rape)
Lineage: Eukaryota; Viridiplantae; Streptophyta; Magnoliopsida; Brassicales; Brassicaceae
Description: snoRNA snoR100
Rfam family: Small nucleolar RNA snoR100
Source: Rfam by way of RNAcentral